Molecule: unclassified non-coding RNA, 337 nt
Filed under: soil metagenome
Description: partial contains 5.8S ribosomal RNA, internal transcribed spacer 2, and large subunit ribosomal RNA
Rfam family: 5.8S ribosomal RNA (bases 1-120)
Source: RNAcentral
GAUGAAGAACGCAGCGAAAUGCGAUAAGUAGUGUGAAUUGCAGAAUUCAGUGAAUCAUCGAAUCUUUGAACGCACAUUGCGCCCCUUGGUAUUCCAUGGGGCAUGCCUGUUCGAGCGUCAUUUGUACCUUCAAGCUCUGCUUGGUGUUGGGUGUUUGUCUCGCCUCUGCGUGUAGACUCGCCUCAAAACAAUUGGCAGCCGGCGUAUUGAUUUCGGAGCGCAGUACAUCUCGCGCUUUGCACUCAUAACGACGACGUCCAAUAGUACAUUUUUACACUCUUGACCUCGGAUCAGGUAGGGAUACCCGCUGAACUUAAGCAUAUCAAUAAGCGGAGGA